AAUUAUACAGGUUUUACAGCGAGGGGUUACUACCUUUGAUAAUUGAAAUGGUUUUGAAAAGCUUUGCUUCGCCCACUCACAUUUUCUAUUUUGCACCCCUCCAGGUUCUAGUAGUAAAGUUUUUGUAUCAACGAGGAUUCGUGGCACUUUCCUGUACAUGUGGCUACUUAUGAUGGUAUAGUCAUUAUCUUACCUUACUAUAUUUUACUUAUGCUUUGUAUCACGUGUGAAAUGGGUCCAUACCCGCUCACCAAGCACUAGUGUACUUAGGCACUUUUAGGCUUAAAUUUAUUCAUAGUUUACACCUUAUCACACUUAUGGCUUCGUUACAUUCCAGGUGUCGGCCAGCACAGCUCGAUUUGGAGUCUUAGUGGAUAUUCCGAGUCGGGGUGUGUCAUCAAUACUAUCACUUUAAGAACCGACUUUUACUACUUUUUGUAAAUAAGAAAAAUUGCUAGUCUUUACUCUCAAUGAACAUGAACAUUGAACAACAUACAUUUAGGAAACCAUUCCGAAGGGAAAGAGAUCAUUUCCGAAUCUUUCCCUUCAAAGCCCAGGGAUCAAGUGAUCCGGACCUUUAAAAUUUAAUCCAAAGACCAAAAAUUAUUGUAAAUUUUACUUUUUUUUACUAACUUAUCUGUUUUUAACUGUUGGAUUAAAUUUAAAGGUUCAGAUCAUUUGAUCCCUGAACUUUAUAGGAAAAGAUCUAAAGAUGAUCUCUUUCAAUUCCGAAGGCCCAAAACGAAAAGGACAACCGUGUUGCUUGCUCUGAUGAUCCUAUUUUCUUUGGACCUGGCUUCUCUGGCCUCCAACUUCCCAUACACUCUUAUCCCCUCCUAUUUAUGCGAUCACGAUUAAGCUACGUCAACAUUUUAUAUUACUAUUUCUUUUUAUCUUAUUAUCUCUAUAAAAAAAAUUCAAAUUAAAAUGUUGACGUGACUAAAUCGUAACGGUAUAAAAUAAGAGAGAAUGAGAAUGCAUGAAAAAUGGAACGGCAGAGAAGUCGGGUCCAUUUUCUUUUGCGAAUUGCUGAACCGAAACCGCGUUUAAAGUUCCGUGGUGUGAUGGCGUCGACCUUCCCAUGUGACAUGCCACUUGUCACUUCACUUUGCAACUCUCUCUCUCUUUUCUUUUCUUUUUUCUUGUUUUUUUAAGAAGACGUGUAAUGUCUUGAUUUAUUCUUUUUAUUCCAAUCAAAAUGUUUUGUUCUCAAUCGCAAUUCUAAAAUAUCUAUAGGCUUAUUUAUUGAUUUGCCGAUUGAAAUUGUCUUUAAUUUCACUACAUUUUAGAACUGAAUUUGCCUCACUGUGCAUUCUAAAAUGGUCAAAAUCAAAUUAUUUCACCGUCAUUAUCGUUCAUACUUACAUAAAUUUGACAGUUUUAAAGGUUUAAGACAGUCUAAAAAUUUCAUACCUCUCUAACCACAAUAGCUCAUCUUUGCCAUCAUGGUGUGAAAUGUCCAAACUACUCUUUAAUUUAACGUACAUGAAACUAAAUUGAUGCAAAUAGGGCGAAAUAGCUCAACAUACAUAUUGAGUUACCCAUGCACUUGACUAUGUCAUGUUGCUACGCAUAUUACAUUUUACAAAGAUUGUUUUGUCUUCAUGUAAGAGGUUUUUAAUUUAAAUUUCAUGAAAGACGAGUUUAAUAUUUACCUAAUCAAAACUAUAAGGCAUACCAACGGUUCAAAAAUGAAUUUGUAUGUCUAGUCGACGUAAGAAAUUUGGGAAAAGCAAAAGCCAAACUAGCUGUGCAACUCUCUCUUUUUAUUUCUUUUUUAAGAAGACGUGUAAUAUCUUUAUUUAUUCUUUUUAUUCCAAUCAAAAUGUUUUGUUCUCAAUCGCAAUUCUAAAAUAUCUAUAGGCUUAAUUAUUGAUUGCCUAUUGAAAUUGUCAUUAAUUUCACUUUACAUUUUAGAACUGAAUUUGCCUCACUGUG
This 1938-nucleotide long non-coding RNA is filed under the name Malus domestica (apple). Its description in RNAcentral is "long non-coding RNA (MDOM_LNC012016)". The record is from RNAcentral. Lineage: Eukaryota; Viridiplantae; Streptophyta; Magnoliopsida; Rosales; Rosaceae.